Molecule: long non-coding RNA, 487 nt
Organism: Sinocyclocheilus rhinocerous
Lineage: Eukaryota; Metazoa; Chordata; Actinopteri; Cypriniformes; Cyprinidae
Exons: 3
Source: RefSeq, a predicted model, not a curated record
CAUAGGGAUUGAUGUUUAAGUUAAAGAUAACUAAAUAUUAUAAUUAAAAAAGCUAAAAAUAAAUAAAUAAAUGUUGACGGUUGACACUUCCUAGCCUACACUAUAUCAAUAGCUGACAGAAUUGAAAGUGAACCCCUUUUGUAUCAAAUGGUUUUAUUAAUUUUUAACCAAUCGUACACAACAAGUAAGGGUUAAUAAUUGUUAUUCUGAGGUGAAAAUUACUAAUACGGGGGCACCGCAGGGGUGUGUUAGUUCACCCAUUCUGUUUAAUGAGUAUGUUUCAGAUUUGAGGGAGUACCACCAGCCAUGCCAGGGGUACCACACUAUUCCGUCAUCAGUGACUGCGCUGUAGGGGCCUCUGUGGUAGAAUCCAUUCAGAUUGGCAGAGUGACAUCUAGAGGAAUACAGAUGCAGACCUGUUAAACCACCAGCCACCCUUGUCCUCCUGAGCACAACUGCGAUCAUAGCGGUCAUUAUCUCUGUCUCG